This 114-nucleotide ribosomal RNA is filed under the name Zingiber officinale. The record is from RNAcentral. Lineage: Eukaryota; Viridiplantae; Streptophyta; Magnoliopsida; Zingiberales; Zingiberaceae.
GCGAUAACACCAGCACUAAUGCACCGGAUCCCAUCAGAACUCCGAAGUUAAGCUUGCUUGGGCGAGGGCAGUACUAGGAUGGGGAACCCCUGGGAAGUCCUCGUGUUGCAGCUA